GGGACGGGACCGCGCUGUCCGGGCCCCCGCCCUCGGAUUCUGCCCCAAACACUCAGCGAGCCCUCGUUCUUCACUCGCCCACUGCCCCAGUUCAGUCUCUCCUGUCCCCAGCCUGUUUUUGUUGUUUUGGCUGGAGUUCAGUGGAGCGGCUGCGGGAUGGGAUUGGGACCUGCCCAGCAGAGCCAGAUGGGAAGCUCUCAGGAAGAGGCUGCACACCUUUUAGAGGGUUUUUAACUGUUCAAAACUCGAUGGUGUCCCAGGGCAAUCCCAUGAAAUCCAGGAUCCAUCUCCCAGAAGAGACAGGGGCAGCCUGGCUGGGACAGGGGAUGAGUUCCCUGCUCUGUCCGGGCUUCAUGAGGCACCCGAGGGGAGCAAACCCCAAUUCCCACAUCCCGAGGGGCCGGCAAUAAUGGGAUUAUCUCUCCCCUAUCUCGGCUGGAGGGAAGCAGUACCUUAACACUCCCGGGGUGGCCAGAGGUCUUUGAAAAGCUCCGGCACUUGGAGGAAAUCGCCUCCAGGCAUCCCUUGGGUUUGUAAAUUCCGGGUUUAAGGCUGAAGGGACCCAGGCCAUUAUCUGGUGGCAGCUCCCUUGUAAAACCAUAAAAGACAACACAACCGCCUUGAGCGUUUAAUUUGCAGAAGCUCCUGGUGGCUGGAGGGCCUUCGGUAGAUGGAGAGCACAUCCCGGGGUCAGCGGCUCCCACGGGGAACGGGACAGCGGCCCAAGGGCUGCUUUGUUCCCGGCUAAUUACAGAGCUCAGCACUCGGGGUGUGGGGGGGAGGAAAGCGAGGGUUCCAGCCCAGAGAAGCCCUCCAGCCCCUCUGGGUUCCAGCCCAGAGAAGCCCUCCAGCCCCUCUGGGUUCCAGCCCAGAGAAGCCCUCCAGCCCCUCUGGGUUUCGGCCCAGAGAAGCCCUCCAGCCCCUCUGGGUUUCAGCCCAGAGAAGCCCUCCAGCCCCUCUGGGUUUCGGCCCAGAGAAGCCCUCCAGCCCCUCUGGGUUCCAGCCCAGAGAAGCCCUCCAGCCCCUCUGGGUUUCGGCCCAGAGAACCCCUCCAAGCACCGAGUUCACACCUCCACACACUCCUGACCAGCCGGGCUUCCCUACCGGCCCCGGGCUCCCAACCCGCCCGUGCUCCGAGGGCAGUGAGGAAGGACAUCCAUGGGUUCUGUUGUCCUUCAUUCCACCGGAGUCUGUCUCGUAGCUAACCAGAUUUCAGUGGAGUGAAGCACAAGAGGCAUGGAGCUGAGCCAGCACCGAGGAGCUGCUGCCCCCGCGGUGGGACAGCCCUGGAAAUGGGGGAGCGCCAGGCACAGACCGCGCUGCAGGGAGAGGAGAGCAGAGGAGCAGCACGAGGAGCUCUGCAGCGGCCUGAGUCUCUCCUGAUAAUCCCCAGUAGCACCCUCUGCCAGCAUGUGCUUCCUUUCUGCAUAAUGUGUAAAGAUUAAAAGUCUACAAAGACCACAAGCUGCUUUCUGGAAGGUUUAAACACCUUAUUAGAAGGAAAUUAAACCCUAAAGUGGAUAAAUGA
Molecule: long non-coding RNA, 1528 nt
Organism: Serinus canaria (Common canary)
Lineage: Eukaryota; Metazoa; Chordata; Aves; Passeriformes; Fringillidae
Exons: 2
Source: RefSeq, a predicted model, not a curated record